GACGAACGCUGGCGGCGUGCUUAACACAUGCAAGUCGAACGGACAGGCCCGGCUUUUGUGGGGUGCUCGAGUGGCGAACGGGUGAGUAACACGUGAGUAACCUGCCCUUGACUUUGGGAUAACUUCAGGAAACUGGGGCUAAUACCGGAUAGGAGCUCCUGCUGCGUGGGGGGGGUUGGAGAGUUUCGGCGGUGUGGGCUGGACUCGCGGGUUAUCAGCUUGUUGGGGGGGUAGGGGCUUACCAGGGCUUUGACGGGUAGCCGGCCUGAGAGGGUGGCCAGCCACAUUGGGCCUGAGAUACGGCGCAGACUCCUACGGGAGGCAGCAGUCGGGAAUAUGGCACAACGGGCGGAAGCCAGAUGCAGCAACGUCGCGUGCGGGAUGCCGGCCUUCGGGUUGUAAACCGCUUUCGCCUGUGCCGAAGCGUGAGUGACGGUAACGGGUAAAGAAGCACCGGCUAACUACGUG
Molecule: ribosomal RNA, 468 nt
Filed under: uncultured bacterium
Lineage: Bacteria
Description: partial 16S ribosomal RNA
Rfam family: Bacterial small subunit ribosomal RNA
Source: RNAcentral